GGUUAAGCGACUAAGCGUACACGGUGGAUGCCCUGGCAGUCAGAGGCGAUGAAGGACGUGCUAAUCUGCGAUAAGCGUCGGUAAGGUGAUAUGAACCGUUAUAACCGGCGAUUUCCGAAUGGGGAAACCCAGUGUGAUUCGUCACACUAUCAUUAACUGAAUCCAUAGGUUAAUGAGGCGAACCGGGGGAACUGAAACAUCUAAGUACCCCGAGGAAAAGAAAUCAACCGAGAUUCCCCCAGUAGCGGCGAGCGAACGGGGAGGAGCCCAGAGCCUGAAUCAGUGUGUGUGUUAGUGGAAGCGUCUGGAAAGGCGCGCGAUACAGGGUGACAGCCCCGUACACAAAAAUGCACAUACUGUGAGCUCGAUGAGUAGGGCGGGACACGUGGUAUCCUGUCUGAAUAUGGGGGGACCAUCCUCCAAGGCUAAAUACUCCUGACUGACCGAUAGUGAACCAGUACCGUGAGGGAAAGGCGAAAAGAACCCCGGCGAGGGGAGUGAAAAAGAACCUGAAACCGUGUACGUACAAGCAGUGGGAGCCUCUUUAUGGGGUGACUGCGUACCUUUUGUAUAAUGGGUCAGCGACUUAUAUUCUGUAGCAAGGUUAACCGAAUAGGGGAGCCGAAGGGAAACCGAGUCUUAACUGGGCGUUAAGUUGCAGGGUAUAGACCCGAAACCCGGUGAUCUAGCCAUGGGCAGGUUGAAGGUUGGGUAACACUAACUGGAGGACCGAACCGACUAAUGUUGAAAAAUUAGCGGAUGACUUGUGGCUGGGGGUGAAAGGCCAAUCAAACCGGGAGAUAGCUGGUUCUCCCCGAAAGCUAUUUAGGUAGCGCCUCGUGAAUUCAUCUCCGGGGGUAGAGCACUGUUUCGGCAAGGGGGUCAUCCCGACUUACCAACCCGAUGCAAACUGCGAAUACCGGAGAAUGUUAUCACGGGAGACACACGGCGGGUGCUAACGUCCGUCGUGAAGAGGGAAACAACCCAGACCGCCAGCUAAGGUCCCAAAGUCAUGGUUAAGUGGGAAACGAUGUGGGAAGGCCCAGACAGCCAGGAUGUUGGCUUAGAAGCAGCCAUCAUUUAAAGAAAGCGUAAUAGCUCACUGGUCGAGUCGGCCUGCGCGGAAGAUGUAACGGGGCUAAACCAUGCACCGAAGCUGCGGCAGCGACGCUUAUGCGUUGUUGGGUAGGGGAGCGUUCUGUAAGCCUGCGAAGGUGUACUGUGAGGUAUGCUGGAGGUAUCAGAAGUGCGAAUGCUGACAUAAGUAACGAUAAAGCGGGUGAAAAGCCCGCUCGCCGGAAGACCAAGGGUUCCUGUCCAACGUUAAUCGGGGCAGGGUGAGUCGACCCCUAAGGCGAGGCCGAAAGGCGUAGUCGAUGGGAAACAGGUUAAUAUUCCUGUACUUGGUGUUACUGCGAAGGGGGGACGGAGAAGGCUAUGUUGGCCGGGCGACGGUUGUCCCGGUUUAAGCGUGUAGGCUGGUUUUCCAGGCAAAUCCGGAAAAUCAAGGCUGAGGCGUGAUGACGAGGCACUACGGUGCUGAAGCAACAAAUGCCCUGCUUCCAGGAAAAGCCUCUAAGCAUCAGGUAACAUCAAAUCGUACCCCAAACCGACACAGGUGGUCAGGUAGAGAAUACCAAGGCGCUUGAGAGAACUCGGGUGAAGGAACUAGGCAAAAUGGUGCCGUAACUUCGGGAGAAGGCACGCUGAUAUGUAGGUGAAGCGACUUGCUCGUGGAGCUGAAAUCAGUCGAAGAUACCAGCUGGCUGCAACUGUUUAUUAAAAACACAGCACUGUGCAAACACGAAAGUGGACGUAUACGGUGUGACGCCUGCCCGGUGCCGGAAGGUUAAUUGAUGGGGUUAGCGCAAGCGAAGCUCUUGAUCGAAGCCCCGGUAAACGGCGGCCGUAACUAUAACGGUCCUAAGGUAGCGAAAUUCCUUGUCGGGUAAGUUCCGACCUGCACGAAUGGCGUAAUGAUGGCCAGGCUGUCUCCACCCGAGACUCAGUGAAAUUGAACUCGCUGUGAAGAUGCAGUGUACCCGCGGCAAGACGGAAAGACCCCGUGAACCUUUACUAUAGCUUGACACUGAACAUUGAGCCUUGAUGUGUAGGAUAGGUGGGAGGCUUUGAAGUGUGGACGCCAGUCUGCAUGGAGCCGACCUUGAAAUACCACCCUUUAAUGUUUGAUGUUCUAACGUUGGCCCCUGAUCGGGGUUGCGGACAGUGUCUGGUGGGUAGUUUGACUGGGGCGGUCUCCUCCUAAAGAGUAACGGAGGAGCACGAAGGUUGGCUAAUCCUGGUCGGACAUCAGGAGGUUAGUGCAAUGGCAUAAGCCAGCUUGACUGCGAGCGUGACGGCGCGAGCAGGUGCGAAAGCAGGUCAUAGUGAUCCGGUGGUUCUGAAUGGAAGGGCCAUCGCUCAACGGAUAAAAGGUACUCCGGGGAUAACAGGCUGAUACCGCCCAAGAGUUCAUAUCGACGGCGGUGUUUGGCACCUCGAUGUCGGCUCAUCACAUCCUGGGGCUGAAGUAGGUCCCAAGGGUAUGGCUGUUCGCCAUUUAAAGUGGUACGCGAGCUGGGUUUAGAACGUCGUGAGACAGUUCGGUCCCUAUCUGCCGUGGGCGCUGGAGAACUGAGGGGGGCUGCUCCUAGUACGAGAGGACCGGAGUGGACGCAUCACUGGUGUUCGGGUUGUCAUGCCAAUGGCACUGCCCGGUAGCUAAAUGCGGAAGAGAUAAGUGCUGAAAGCAUCUAAGCACGAAACUUGCCCCGAGAUGAGUUCUCCCUGACUCCUUGAGAGUCCUGAAGGAACGUUGAAGACGACGACGUUGAUAGGCCGGGUGUGUAAGCGCAGCGAUGCGUUGAGCUAACCGGUACUAAUGAACCGUGAGGCUUAACCUU
This 2903-nucleotide ribosomal RNA is filed under the name Escherichia coli. RNAcentral describes it as "23S ribosomal RNA". It matches the Rfam family "Bacterial large subunit ribosomal RNA". The record is from RNAcentral. Lineage: Bacteria; Pseudomonadati; Pseudomonadota; Gammaproteobacteria; Enterobacterales; Enterobacteriaceae.